CUUUUGUAUCUUAAUUUCUUUCUCUGUGCUUUUGUCUUUCAAGGAGUGGUGCUGGGCACAGGUAUUUUAGAUAAGUAAGUGGGAUAGCAAGAGAAGGACCUUUUUACUGCUCACCCAUUUAUUGGGUGACAAUCCAAUGUGCUAUCCAGAAUGCAGCAUUUUUGAGAGUAAAAGAAAUCAUACUGGGCCAGAUCAUAAAACCCAGCAUUUUUUAGACAAACUGGUAUAGUGUAUAUGGUUAACUUACUUUGUACCAAGAAGGUAUAACAAACUCACUUUAGAGGACAGUGGUGUACAGUCUGAUAGAGUGAGUACCCAGUUAACUCUCCGUAUGUUGUGUCAGCUGGCUUUGUAUCAGGAAGCUUCUGGUGAGUUUAGGUGACCCCAUAGCAGAGGCAGGUGGAAAAUUCCAGGCUAGGAGGCUGGAUGGAGUAGAUGGUAAACACUCAAGGGUCAGUGGUCAAUGAUGAGGACACAAGCCAAGAGCCAACCAUGGGGAUUCCAAGGGGAGCUUGGGUUAUCAAAGGCCAUUAGAGCUGCAGUGACCAGGACAUUGCCCCAAGAAACUGUGUCUGCAUGAAAUAAGGGAUAUCCUUGCUUGUUUGUGACCCAAGGAUAUAUUGUUUUGCUUAUUGGUGUUGAAUUUUAAUUAAAAACCAAACAACUUUUCCUAUUAACUUGAUGCUACUUAUUAAUUCAAAUGAAGAGACUGACUCUGGAUAUUGGGAAAAUUUAUCGGCAUAUACAAAGGAAAGGCCGUGUGGGGAAAUAAUGAGAGGACAGCCAUCUGCAAGCCAAGAAGAGAAUCAUCACUAGAAACCAAAUUGGUUGGAACCUUGAUCUUGAACUUCUUGCUUCCAGAAUUAUGAGAAAAUAAAUUGUUGUUUGAGC
Molecule: long non-coding RNA, 891 nt
Organism: Macaca mulatta (Rhesus monkey)
Lineage: Eukaryota; Metazoa; Chordata; Mammalia; Primates; Cercopithecidae
Source: RefSeq, a predicted model, not a curated record